Molecule: small nucleolar RNA, 74 nt
Organism: Salarias fasciatus (jewelled blenny)
Lineage: Eukaryota; Metazoa; Chordata; Actinopteri; Blenniiformes; Blenniidae
Source: Ensembl
GUCUGAGGUGAUGAGUGUCUAUUACCGCCCCAGUCUGAAGAUCCAUGACUGAUUGGUAACCCCUCUGAUCAGGA